CCGAGUUUACAACUCCCAAACCCCUGUGAACAUACCUAUAUGUUGCCUCGGCGGAUCAGCCCGCGCCCCGUAAAACGGGACGGCCCGCCGCAGGAUCCACAAACUCUGUUUUUAUGUAACUUCUGAGUAACAAAACAAAUAAAUCA
RNAcentral lists this unclassified non-coding RNA (146 nucleotides) under soil metagenome. RNAcentral's name for it is "partial internal transcribed spacer 1". The record is from RNAcentral.